GAGUAUCAUAGAAUUUAUUGAAAAAUUGAAAUAUGUACAGCGACGACGAACCGGACGACACUUUCUUCUACCGCUACGCCUCCGCCGCCCAGCCACCGCCGCCCGCCGCCGCCUCCUCCUCCUCUAAAUCCUCCCGCGGAGGAGGAGGAGGAGGUAGCGGCGGACUAGCUCCGUCGAAAUCCACCGUCUAUAUCAGCAACAUCGACUACAACCUCACGAACUCCGAUCUCCACACGAUCUUCUCCACGUUCGGAAAAGUCGCCAAGGUCACCGUGCUCAAGGACCGCGCCACUCGCCGGAGCAAGGGCGUGGCCUUCGUCCUGUUCGUCAACCGCGACGACGCCUCGAAGGCGGUGAUAGGCAUGGAUAAGAAAAUACUCAACGGAAGAACCCUACGCGCCUCGAUCGCCGCGGAUAAUGGACGCGCCGCGGAGUUCAUCAGGAAAAAGGUGUACAAGGAUAAGAGCAAGUGCUACGAAUGCGGAGAGGAGGGGCAUUUGUCGUACGAAUGCCCUAAGAACUUUUUGGGGCCGAGGGAACGGCCUGUAGCGAAGAAAUUGCGCCGGAACGGCGGCGGCGGAGGCGGAGAAAAUGGAGGUAAGGAUCAGGAGCACAAUUUGGAGGAUGAGGAAGAGGGAGACGUCGAUUUUGAGACGGAAAAUUGGGCGUCCGUCGUGGAUGGUGAUGGGGCGGCGGAGGCGAGAUUGUUGGGCAGUUGCAGUGAUAGGGGAGAGGUUAAGAAGGGGAAGAAGGAGAAGAGGAAAGGAUAUUUCAGUGAUGAGAGUGACGAAGAGGAUUGAAAUUGAAAUUGGAAUUGGAACUGCAUACAUACAGAUACAGAGUUGGCAAUUUUCAUCUCUGGAGCAUAGUAAUGGAGGUGGUAAUGGUGCGUGGCCGUGGAAACAAAGAAGAAAGGAUGCUGAAAAGUACUAUCGACUAAGUGCAAUGACUUUCAAAAAUGACAUGUGGCGACGGCAAGGAUCUGAUGGGGUAUGUAUAACUUAUAUGCAUAUUUGUUAUUUAAUUUUGUUGUGUAUUUGAAUUGUUGUUUUGUGUUCUGGUAAUAUCUAGUUUUGCGAUUAAUCGAUUGAUACAAAGGGUUUUCCCAUUUCAGUAGUCGGUAGAUAGAUUUUCGAGUAUUUAUAGGCGUUGUUACUUUCAUCUUAUUACGAAUAAGAGAAAUUAGCACGGCCCUAUUUGAGUUUGAUAUUGGGUGCUUAUAUUAUUGGCGACUA
Andrographis paniculata is the source of this 1235-nucleotide RNA transcript. It is a transcript of the gene named U11/U12 small nuclear ribonucleoprotein 31 kDa protein, with no coding region annotated. The transcript is spliced from 2 exons. The record is from RefSeq and is a predicted model, not a curated record. NCBI's taxonomy places the organism in Eukaryota, Viridiplantae, Streptophyta, Magnoliopsida, Lamiales, Acanthaceae.